RNAcentral lists this transfer RNA (65 nucleotides) under human gut metagenome. It matches the Rfam family "tRNA", at positions 6 to 65 of the family's 71-position model. Rfam says of the family: Transfer RNA (tRNA) molecules are approximately 80 nucleotides in length. Their secondary structure includes four short double-helical elements and three loops (D, anti-codon, and T loops). RNAcentral also lists the same sequence under 1 other name. The record is from RNAcentral.
UCGGUAGUUCAGCUGGUUAGAACGCUAGCCUGUCACGCUAGAGGUCGUGGGUUCGAUCCCCAUCC